Capsicum annuum is the source of this 233-nucleotide long non-coding RNA. RefSeq lists it as uncharacterized. Lineage: Eukaryota; Viridiplantae; Streptophyta; Magnoliopsida; Solanales; Solanaceae. The transcript is spliced from 2 exons. The record is from RefSeq and is a predicted model, not a curated record.
GAACACGGUAAAUUCUUAAUGUCAAACCCUAGAAUCUGCCGCACAAAGCCAAAGUUGGAGUUGCUAGCAGUAGUUCCACCUUGUUUGCUUUGACUGCAGAAGUUUAUAAGCAAGACAGAAAGAUGUAUGCUCGGGAACCAGUUCCUCCAUUCGUUUCAAUAGCAGAAAUGAUGAAAAAGUUCCAAUCUAGCACCAGGGAGAUGUCACUGCCUCCCAUGAGCAAUUCAACUUCA